Long non-coding RNA from Hippocampus comes (tiger tail seahorse), 821 nucleotides. RefSeq lists it as uncharacterized. The record is from RefSeq and is a predicted model, not a curated record. NCBI's taxonomy places the organism in Eukaryota, Metazoa, Chordata, Actinopteri, Syngnathiformes, Syngnathidae. The transcript is spliced from 2 exons.
UCUCUCAGUCGAGACACAUCACUUCAACAUAAAAUUGUGCCUUGGGUUUCGCAACCACACUCGUUAACUCGAACUUCAUUUGUAGAGCGCUUUUCAUACACGACGGGGUAACUAACUGCUUCACAUUGUUAAAAUCACAACCAUGAAUCUGUUUCAGACAAGCUGGGCAUACUCUUGGUUCAGCGCCUCCCCAACACUCCAAGAACCCUUUUCGAGGUGGAGCAAACCAGCGGCCCAGGCUUUAGCCUAUCCACUGUAGUUUGCUCCCUUCUCAAAGUAAUGAAGAGGUGGUAGUGCUUGACAGUCCAAAUGAAGUCGACUUGAGCAAGAUACUGAACGUCCAGGUGAUCCUGAUGCUGCAUCACCAGGAGCUGAAUGAUAACUCAAGUGCUAUGUAUGCCUUGCAGGUGGAAACGUGUAACAGAAGUGUAAGCCCGUUUACUCCGUUUAGACACGUGUAUAUUGGCUGCAGUGCAGUUCUGGAGGUUAAUUCAAAUGUGGAUGAGUCUGCUAUGUUGCAACUGUAAUUCUAGGGGGUGCCGAAUGAGGGGAGUUAAUCGCUCGGUAAAAAAAAAAAUAUAUAUAUCAAAUAGGCCCUCUCACACAAUAAAGUGCCAAUUUGACAGCCCAAGUAAUUAUCUUUGUUUUGUUGGACAGUAAAUUUCAAAUGGAAAUGGCAACAAACAGCACAUAGCCUUUUUUUUUUUUAAAGAAUUGUUCACCGUCUGCCAAACUGCUGCCUGUUGUGAAGGGAAUUGAGUUGUCUGCCAGCAUAGAGUGCCUGUUAAACAUUUUGAUGCAAAAAACAAUCAAAUAGAAAA